ACUACGGGGUGCAGCAGUGGGGGAUAUUGGACAAUGGGGGGAACCCUGAUCCAGCGACGCCGCGUGAGUGAAGAAGUAUUUCGGUAUGUAAAGCUCUGUCAGCAGGGACGAAAGAAAUGACGGUACCUGACCAAGAAGCCCCGGCUAACUACGUGCCAGCAGCCGCGGUAAUACGUAGGGGGCAAGCGUUAUCCGGAAUUACUGGGGGUAAAGGGAGCGUAGACGGUUAAGUAAGUCUGGAGUGAAAGGCCGGGGCGCAACCCCGGGACUGCUCUGGAAACUAUUGAACUUGAGUGCAGGAGAGGUAAGCGGAAUUCCUAGUGUAGCGGUGAAAUGCGUAGAUAUUAGGAGGAACACCAGUGGCGACGGCGGCUUACUGGACUGUAACUGACGUUGAGGCUCGAAAGCGUGGGGAGCAAACAGGAUUAGAUACCCCGGUAGUC
Molecule: ribosomal RNA, 443 nt
Filed under: uncultured bacterium
Lineage: Bacteria
Description: partial 16S ribosomal RNA
Rfam family: Bacterial small subunit ribosomal RNA
Source: RNAcentral